AUCGCUUCUCACCCUUUUUGGCUAAGAUCAAGUGCAGUGUCCGUUCUUUUCCGUUUAAUAUCUGAUACGUACCACAUUGUGGUACCUUACAUGAAAUAGAUGUUUUUUUGGGACAGGGGGAUGGAAUAUAGACUUACUCUGUCCACUCAGCCUGGACUUACAGUACUUCUCCGCUUGAGGAGGGAAA
Petromyzon marinus (sea lamprey) is the source of this 187-nucleotide small nuclear RNA. Its record names the gene U2. It matches the Rfam family "U2 spliceosomal RNA". From Rfam's summary of the family: U2 is a small nuclear RNA (snRNA) component of the spliceosome (involved in pre-mRNA splicing). The record is from Ensembl. NCBI's taxonomy places the organism in Eukaryota, Metazoa, Chordata, Hyperoartia, Petromyzontiformes, Petromyzontidae.